Molecule: RNA transcript, 2804 nt
Organism: Oenanthe melanoleuca
Lineage: Eukaryota; Metazoa; Chordata; Aves; Passeriformes; Muscicapidae
Gene name: histone H3-like
Exons: 2
Source: RefSeq, a predicted model, not a curated record
GGAAAUUAAAAAAUAAAAAAUAAACAAAAAAAGCCCCAAAAACCAAAAAUGAGCGCUUUAAUGAGCCUCACGUAGCUAGGGAUGCGCAGGGAAGGCUGUGUUUGGCUAAACGCCUUUUACGAAGAGGUUAAAUCCUGGCUGUCCCGGGCUGAGGCCGCGAGAAAACUACUGCAGAGCCGGAGUAAAAACUCCGCGUCUGCUGGCGGGCUGCAGCCUUGGGAGCGCUCCGGGCCAUCGCCAUUCCCGCUCUGCAGGGCGGAGCUGCGGGAUUAGAGGACAGGGAGCGGAGCUGCUCCCGCGGAAGGAGGGCGGGCGGUGCGGAGCGGGAAGCUGCUGCCCCCCCGUCCCCCCCUCACCGCCUCACAACGCGCGGGAUUUUCAAACUCUGCCCCUGGCCAAUGGCAGCCGUCCCUUGGCUCUGGCCAAUCACAGCGCGCUGGCGGCUAUAAAUAUCGGCCGCUGUGGCCGCUUAUCGCUCAGUGUUCUUUCGCUUUCCUGCCGCGGCUGUUGUGUGAGCGAUGGCUCGUACGAAGCAGACGGCGCGUAAGUCGACGGGCGGGAAGGCGCCCCGCAAGCAGCUGGCCACCAAGGCUGCCCGCAAGAGCGCGCCGGCCACGGGCGGCGUCAAGAAGCCGCACCGCUACCGGCCCGGCACGGUGGCGCUGCGCGAGAUCCGGCGCUACCAGAAGUCCACGGAGCUGCUGAUCCGCAAGCUGCCCUUCCAGCGCCUGGUGCGCGAGAUCGCGCAGGACUUCAAGACCGACCUGCGCUUCCAGAGCUCGGCCGUCAUGGCGCUGCAGGAGGCCAGCGAGGCCUACCUGGUGGGGCUCUUCGAGGACACCAACCUGUGCGCCAUCCACGCCAAGCGCGUCACCAUCAUGCCCAAGGACAUCCAGCUGGCCCGCCGCAUCCGCGGCGAGCGCGCAUAAACUGCUGGCAAACGGAGACUUCUGAUCAGCGAAAACCCAAAGGCUCUUUUAAGAGCCACCACCACGUCACUUAAAGAGCUGUAAAUUCCUACUUACAGGUAAAAAGUUACGCUUUUCGCAGGCAGCGACAUUUCACGUCUCAAAUUACCACCGGGAUUGCGGAAAUGAAUUUUAGAGAGAGCAAACUCAUUUCAUGUUACUGAGACGGCCGAAGAUCUGUCUACCUGGAGCUGUUUGCAUCUGCUUAUCAUAAUAAAACAAAUUAUUAAAUCAAGUAAAAUAGCUUCUUCUAAUACUUUAGAAGAUGUUUUGUAUUUUAUAUAAGCCAUCGAUCAGAGUAGUUACAUUUCAGCAAAAUGUAGCAUCAGAAAUGAUACUGUUUGGUUUGGUUUUGGGCUUUUUGGAAUAUUCAAGAAAGAAAUUAUUUUUGAGCGGCGAGACAGGGAAAUAGGUUUUAUUUGCCUUAAUCUCUUGUUAUUUCUCCUCUAGUCUUAUGAAGACUUCAUACUGUUUUGCUAAAUUACGUUAUUUGGAUUUACUCAGAGGGAGUUGUGAGCUUGAAUUAAAAAAAAAAAAAAAAAAACCACUAAUUUCAUCAGCUGAGAAAGAAAGAUGUGCAAUGCACAGGUAACUUAGUGCACGAUUCCCUAAUCCAAGUGAGAACAAAAGUGGAGGUUCCUCUGGUGCAAGCAAGGUUCAGCUGCAUUUCUUUGCUUUUUGCAGGGGAACCUGAGAUAAAAGAAUGCUGCCCAGUCAGAGCUGGAUGUGAGCAAGACCUCUGUGCUGAGCAGCUGAGGAUUGGCUUGAGAGCUGCUGUUUGCAAUCAAGGUGCUUUUGCAGGUGAUUUUAGAUGAUCUGGCUAGGACUCCUCCUGGCCCUUUAGCCAUCCUUCAUGGAUGAGCCGGCUCAAAUUAAAAUCAUGGCUUGAAAGAAUGUUCUUAUCAGUCCAGUGGGUAAAACAGAGCCUAGCUACUGAUAUCCUGGUGAAAAACUUCAUUUCAUCCAAAUACAUAGAAUGUUAGAUUACAGCAUCUUUCUAGAACAAAAAUACUUCAAUCAGUCCUAUUUGACAGCUAUUAGUUUCUUUAACAAUCUGAACAGAGAUAUAUACAUAUGAAAUCAAUGUUUAAUUUGAAUUAACUAUUGUAAUGUAAAUAUUUUAUGAAUGUGGUUUCCAUGCAGCCAGUAUGCAAGGUAGGUCCUAAACACAUUUUCAUUUUCAAAUCCUUCUUGUGGGCUUCUUCACAGUCUGAAUCACCUGUUGGUUGCAGUCCUCAGUAACCAGCAAGAGAGAAGUUUGAACUCUGCCAGUGCAGCUCUGCUCCAGCCCUGCCCUGCUGCAUCAUUGCCUCUCUUCUCUCUCUUGAGUCAUAUUUUAUCUUCAAGAUGGGUUUCAGCAUGUUUCAGAUGAUAGUUGUGCAACAACAUCAUCACAACAAUAUAAACUUUUAUUAAGAUAUCAUAUAUUAGAAAGUAUUUUGUCAGCUACUCCUGUUAUGGAAUUAAUUUCACUGGCCACAAUAACAGUGGGUCCUGAUCAGUCUGAUCCUAGGAUGCUGCUGAUUACUGCACUUUUCCAAGUUAAGGUUUCCAGUGUGUCUUUUAUUUGUUCUCAGGUUCCAGCUUGAGCUGGGUGGAUAUGUAGAGUGACCACUACACCAAAAAUUAACCUUCAAUCCCACACAGGCCACCCAACACUCACCUCCCAAGCCCAUCACUUGCUUCUGGUCCUUUGUCUCUGUUCUUUGUUUUUUUGGGAGACUGUUUGUGUUUUUCAUCUGACAUUACCUCAAUUCUUGAAGUUGUUUCCUUGGUCCUUCCUUACCUUUUUCAUUCUGUUUUGGGCAAGUUGUAGGUAAGCAUCAUUAGCUUUUA